Molecule: small nuclear RNA, 166 nt
Organism: Protopterus annectens (West African lungfish)
Lineage: Eukaryota; Metazoa; Chordata; Ceratodontiformes; Protopteridae
Product: U1 spliceosomal RNA
Exons: 1
Source: RefSeq, a predicted model, not a curated record
AUACUUAUCUAGGAAGCAGAAUAUCAUGAUCAAGAAGGUGGUUUCCCCAGGGUGAGACUCUUCCAUUGCACACUUCAUUUGGGUUAACUCCUGUGAUUUCUCAAAAUGUGGUGAAUUCAACUUCUUAAUUCAGGGUAGUGUGGGACUGUGUUCAUGCAGUUUCCUG